GGGCCUGUAGCUCAGUUGGUUAGAGCAGUAGACUCAUAAUCUAUUGGUCGAAGGUUCGAGUCCUUCCAGGCCCACCA
This 77-nucleotide transfer RNA is filed under the name Leucothrix mucor. Its description in RNAcentral is "tRNA-Met". It matches the Rfam family "tRNA". Rfam says of the family: Transfer RNA (tRNA) molecules are approximately 80 nucleotides in length. Their secondary structure includes four short double-helical elements and three loops (D, anti-codon, and T loops). Lineage: Bacteria; Pseudomonadati; Pseudomonadota; Gammaproteobacteria; Thiotrichales; Thiotrichaceae. RNAcentral also lists the same sequence under 3 other names. The record is from RNAcentral.